CGCGUAAGUUAUCUACCCCGGCAUCUGGAAUAACUCACAGAAAGGUGUGCUAAUACCGGAUACGUUGAUUCAUCAAGAAAGGUGGCUUUUGCUACCGUGCCGGGAUGAGCUUGCGUACCAUUAGCUAGUUGGUGGGGUAAUGGCCUACCAAGGCGACGAUGGUUAGCGGGUCUGAGAGGAUGAUCCGCCACACUGGAACUGGAACACGGACCAGACUCCUACGGGAGGCAGCAGUGAGGAAUAUUGCGCAAUGGGGGAAACCCUGACGCAGCGACGCCGCGUGGAUGAUGAAGGCCUUCGGGUUGUAAAAUCCUGUCAGAUGGGAAGAACUGUUACAUGUCUAAUAUAUGUGUAACCUGACGGUACCAUCAAAGGAAGCACCGGCUAACUCCGUG
This 395-nucleotide ribosomal RNA is filed under the name uncultured delta proteobacterium. RNAcentral describes it as "bacterial SSU rRNA". It matches the Rfam family "Bacterial small subunit ribosomal RNA", at positions 114 to 507 of the family's 1533-position model. The record is from RNAcentral. Lineage: Bacteria; Deltaproteobacteria.